This 270-nucleotide ribosomal RNA is filed under the name uncultured archaeon. Its description in RNAcentral is "partial 16S ribosomal RNA". It matches the Rfam family "Archaeal small subunit ribosomal RNA", at positions 477 to 747 of the family's 1478-position model. The record is from RNAcentral.
CAGCAGCCCGAGUGGUGGUCGUUUUUAUUGGGCCUAAAGCGUCCGUAGCCGGUCUAGUAAAUCCUUGGAUAAAUCGUACAGCUUAACUGUACGGCUCCCGGGGAGACUGCUAGACUUGGGACUGGGAGAGGUCGGAGGUACUCCAGGGGUAGGGGUGAAAUCUUGUAAUCCUUGGGGGACCACCAGUGGCGAAGGCGUCCGACUAGAACGGGUCCGACGGUAAGGGACGAAACCCUGGGGCGCAAACCGGAUUAGAUACCCGAGUAGUCC